RNAcentral lists this ribosomal RNA (1378 nucleotides) under Staphylotrichum longicolle. RNAcentral describes it as "eukaryotic LSU rRNA". It matches the Rfam family "Eukaryotic large subunit ribosomal RNA", at positions 1 to 1322 of the family's 3401-position model. Lineage: Eukaryota; Fungi; Ascomycota; Sordariomycetes; Sordariales; Chaetomiaceae. The record is from RNAcentral.
GGCUCGCUAGUCACUCCGAGCGUAGUAGUUACAUCUCGCUCAGGGCGUGCUGCGGGUUCCGGCCGUUAAAAGCCUUAUUUACCCAAGGUUGACCUCGGAUCAGGUAGGAAGACCCGCUGAACUUAAGCAUAUCAAUAAGCGGAGGAAAAGAAACCAACAGGGAUUGCCCUAGUAACGGCGAGUGAAGCGGCAACAGCUCAAAUUUGAAAUCUGGCUUCGGCCCGAGUUGUAAUUUGCAGAGGAAGCUUUGGGCGCGGCACCAACUGAGUCCCCUGGAACGGGGCGCCAUAGAGGGUGAGAGCCCCGUAUAGUUGGACGCCUAGCCUGUGUAAAGCUCCUUCGACGAGUCGAGUAGUUUGGGAAUGCUGCUCAAAAUGGGAGGUAAAUUUCUUCUAAAGCUAAAUACCGGCCAGAGACCGAUAGCGCACAAGUAGAGUGAUCGAAAGAUGAAAAGCACUUUGAAAAGAGGGUUAAAUAGCACGUGAAAUUGUUGAAAGGGAAGCGCUUGUGACCAGACUUGCGCCCGGCUGAUCAUCCGGUGUUCUCACCGGUGCACUCUGCCGGGCUCAGGCCAGCAUCGGUUCUCGCGGGGGGACAAAGGCGGCGGGAACGUGGCUCCUCCGGGAGUGUUAUAGCCCACCGUGUCAUGCCCUCGCGGGGACCGAGGACCGCGCAUCUGCAAGGAUGCUGGCGUAAUGGUCAUCAGCGACCCGUCUUGAAACACGGACCAAGGAGUCAAGGUUUUGCGCGAGUGUUUGGGUGUAAAACCCGCACGCGUAAUGAAAGUGAACGUAGGUGAGAGCCCUCGGGCGCAUCAUCGACCGAUCCUGAUGUUCUCGGAUGGAUUUGAGUAGGAGCGUUAAGCCUUGGACCCGAAAGAUGGUGAACUAUGCUUGGAUAGGGUGAAGCCAGAGGAAACUCUGGUGGAGGCUCGCAGCGGUUCUGACGUGCAAAUCGAUCGUCAAAUCUGAGCAUGGGGGCGAAAGACUAAUCGAACCAUCUAGUAGCUGGUUACCGCCGAAGUUUCCCUCAGGAUAGCAGUGUUGUCUUCAGUUUUAUGAGGUAAAGCGAAUGAUUAGGGACUCGGGGGCGCUUUUUUGCCUUCAUCCAUUCUCAAACUUUAAAUAUGUAAGAAGCCCUUGUUACUUAAUUGAACGUGGGCAUUCGAAUGUACCAACACUAGUGGGCCAUUUUUGGUAAGCAGAACUGGCGAUGCGGGAUGAACCGAACGCGGGGUUAAGGUGCCGGAGUGGACGCUCAUCAGACACCACAAAAGGCGUUAGUACAUCUUGACAGCAGGACGGUGGCCAUGGAAGUCGGAAUCCGCUAAGGACUGUGUAACAACUCACCUGCCGAAUGUACUAGCCCUGAAAAUGGA